AUGGCAGUGGUGCUAUUUCUUGUGAUGUUUGCUUGUGUAGACCAGAUUAUGGACUUGGUGGACCGGUUCAAGAUGACUAGGUUGCCAUCCUGGGAGAUUGUGAGCUCCAGGGCGGUGGUGUUCUUGAUCGGGUUAUCCCUAUUUGCAAUCCAUGCUGAAGUAAAUUUGGGGACUGUAUUGAACCAUAUGCCAAGGUAUCAGUUGGUGGUGUCUUGGAAGGGUUUGCUGCUGCUUGUGUUGAAGAAGCCAAGCGUGUACUUGCCAUUCUUGGAGACGGGCUUGUCGUAG
RNAcentral lists this ribosomal RNA (288 nucleotides) under Triticum aestivum (bread wheat). RNAcentral describes it as "partial small subunit ribosomal RNA". The record is from RNAcentral. Lineage: Eukaryota; Viridiplantae; Streptophyta; Magnoliopsida; Poales; Poaceae.